AUUGAACGCUGGCGGCAUGCCUUACACAUGCAAGUCGAACGGCAGCACGGGUGCUUGCACCUGGUGGCGAGUGGCGAACGGGUGAGUAAUACAUCGGAACAUGUCCUGUAGUGGGGGAUAGCCCGGCGAAAGCCGGAUUACUACCGCAUACGAUCUACGGAUGAAAGCGGGGGACCUUCGGGCCUCGCGCUAUAGGGUUGGCCGAUGGCUGAUUAGCUAGUUGGUGGGGUAAAGGCCAACCAAGGCGACGAUCAGUAGCUGGUCUGAGAGGACGACCAGCCACACUGGGACUGAGACACGGCCCAGACUCCUACGGGAGGCAGCAGUGGGGAAUUUUGGACAAUGGGCGAAAGCCUGAUCCAGCAAUGCCGCGUGUGUGAAGAAGGCCUUCGGGUUGUAAAGCACUUUUGUCCGGAAAGAAAUCCUUGGCCCUAAUACGGUCGGGGGAUGACGGUACCGGAAGAAUAAGCACCGGCUAACUACGUG
Molecule: ribosomal RNA, 486 nt
Filed under: uncultured bacterium
Lineage: Bacteria
Description: partial 16S ribosomal RNA
Rfam family: Bacterial small subunit ribosomal RNA
Source: RNAcentral